UGUUGUAUGUCUUUCAACUUGAAAACAGUGAUAAAAAGAGGUAGAAGAUAACAUUGAGGCAAUCAAAGCAUCAAAAAAGAUUAAGGUCAGGCUAACCAUGUCAAACAGACAUACACUUCUAACAUCAUUACAUACACCAAUUAAAGUUGACUUAUUGAUUUAAUAAUUCAGAUAGGGUACUUAUCCAUGAACUGAGGUUCGUUCAGGC
Molecule: long non-coding RNA, 208 nt
Filed under: Mytilus galloprovincialis (Mediterranean mussel)
Lineage: Eukaryota; Metazoa; Mollusca; Bivalvia; Mytilida; Mytilidae
Source: RNAcentral